GGCCCAGCCCUAGCCCGAGACACAUUGACCUGGAAUAACAAAGCCACUUAGACAUAAACAACUAAAGCAUUUACUAAUCCCAGUAUAGGCGAUAGAAAAGAUACCAUCGGCGCGAUAGAGAGCACGUACCGUAAGGGAAAGAUGAAAUAAUAAUGAAAAAAGAUAAGCCAAAAACAGCAAAGAUCAACCCUUGUACCUUUUGCAUCAUGGUCUAGCAAGAAAAACCAAGCAAAACGAAUUGAAGCUUGCCACCCCGAAACCCAAGCGAGCUACUUACGAGCAGCUAACAUGAGCGAACCCGUCUCUGUUGCAAAAGAGUGGGAUGACUUGUCAGUAGAGGUGAAAAGCCAACCGAGCUGGGUGAUAGCUGGUUGCCUGUGAGACGAAUUUAAGUUCACUCUUAAUUCUCCUCCAAGGAACUCCACGAACCCUAAUGAAGCGAAUUAAGGGCUAUUUAAAGGGGGUACAGCUCCUUUAAAAAAGAGUACAAUCUCUACGAGCGGAUAAGUACACUAGUGUAGAACUUACUGUGGGCCUUCAAGCAGCCAUCAACAAAGAGUGCGUCAAAGCUCCUACUAUGAAAAAUAUGUUAAUCCUACGACUCCCUCCCCACUAACAGGCUAACCUAUAUGAAUAGGAGAAUUAAUGCUAGAAUGAGUAACUAGGGAUCUUCCCUCUACGACGCAAGCUUACAUCAAUACAUUAUUAACAAGACACCCAUAUACGACUAAUCCAACAAGCAUAGUAUUAAACAACUUGUUAACCCGACAGAGGAGCGUCCGUAAGAAAGAUUAAAACCUGUGAAAGGAACUAGGCAAACGUCAAGGCCCGACUGUUUACCAAAAACAUAGCCUUCAGCAAACCCCAGACAAGUAUUGAAGGUGAUGCCUGCCCGGUGACCUCGUGUUAAACGGCCGCGGUAUCCUAACCGUGCAAAGGUAGCGCAAUCAAUUGUCCCAUAAAUCGAGACUAGUAUGAAUGGCUAAACGAGGUCUUAACUGUCUCUCACAGGCGAUCAGUGAAAUUGAUCUUCCUGUGCAAAAGCAGGAAUAACCCCAUAAGACGAGAAGACCCUGUGGAACUUUAAAAACAGCAACCACGCCUAAAUACUUACCCCCCCAUACGGGCUCACUUAUUCAUUAGGCCCCUGGUCUGCAUUUUUUCGGUUGGGGCGACCUUGGAGAAAAACAAAUCCUCCAAAAAUUGGACCACACCUCUAGACUAAGAGCGACUCCUCAACGUGCUAAUAGCAUCCAGACCCAAUACAAUUGAUCAAUGGACCAAGCUACCCCAGGGAUAACAGCGCAAUCUCCUCCAAGAGUCCAUAUCGACGGGGAGGUUUACGACCUCGAUGUUGGAUCAGGACAUCCUAGUGGUGCAGCAGCUACUAAGGGUUCGUUUGUUCAACGAUUAACAGUCCUACGUGAUCUGAGUUCAGACCGGAGUAAUCCAGGUCGGUUUCUAUCUAUGAUGAGCUCUUCCCAGUACGAAAGGAUCGGAAAAGUGAGGCCAAUACUGCAAGCAAGCCUUCGCCUUAAGUAAUGAAUGCAACUAAUUACGAAAGGCUAUCACAACCAACCACGUCCCAGAA
RNAcentral lists this ribosomal RNA (1591 nucleotides) under Malurus melanocephalus (red-backed fairy wren). RNAcentral describes it as "16S ribosomal RNA". It matches the Rfam family "Bacterial large subunit ribosomal RNA". Lineage: Eukaryota; Metazoa; Chordata; Aves; Passeriformes; Maluridae. The record is from RNAcentral.